ACGCACGCUGGCGGCGUGCUUCACACCUGCCAGUCGAACGGAAAGGCCUGCUUUCCCUUGUGGAUUGCGGGUACUCGAGUGGCGAACGGGUGAGUAACACGUGAGUGAUCUGCCCCCAACUUGGGUAUAAGCCUGGGAAACUGGGUCUAAUUCCCGAUAGGACUGCAGGGUGGUGCCUGUGGUGGAAAACGAUUUUCUAGUGGUUGGGGAUGAGCUCGCGGCCUAUCAGCUUGUUGGUGGGGUAAUGGCCUACCAAGGCGGCGACGGGUAGCCGGCCUGAGAGGGUGGACGGCCACAUUGGGACUGAGAUACGGCCCAGACGCCUACGGGAGGCAGCAGUGGGGAAUAUUGCACAAUGGGCGGAAGCCUGAUGCAGCGACGCCGCGUGGGGGAUGACGGCCUUCGGGUGGUAAACUCCUUUCGACCGCGAGGAAGCCACCUGGUUGGAAGGGUGGUGACGGUAGUGGUAGAAGAAGCACCGGCUAACUACGUG
Molecule: ribosomal RNA, 493 nt
Filed under: uncultured bacterium
Lineage: Bacteria
Description: partial 16S ribosomal RNA
Rfam family: Bacterial small subunit ribosomal RNA
Source: RNAcentral